RNAcentral lists this ribosomal RNA (503 nucleotides) under uncultured bacterium. RNAcentral's name for it is "bacterial SSU rRNA". It matches the Rfam family "Bacterial small subunit ribosomal RNA", at positions 30 to 527 of the family's 1533-position model. The record is from RNAcentral.
AUUGAACGCUGGCGGCAGGCUUAACACAUGCAAGUCGAGCGGAAACGGAGGUAGCUUGCUACCAGACGUCGAGCGGCGAACGGGUGAGUAACGCGUAGGAAUCUACCUAGUAGAGGGGGAUAGCCCGGGGAAACUCGGAUUAAUACCGCAUACGCCCUAAGGGGGAAAGCAGGGGAUCUUCGGACCUUGCGCUAUUAGAUGAGCCUGCGUCGGAUUAGCUUGUUGGUGGGGUAAUGGCCUACCAAGGCAACGAUCUCUAGCUGGUCUGAGAGGACGAUCAGCCACACUGGGACUGAGACACGGCCCAGACUCCUACGGGAGGCAGCAGUGAGGAAUAUUGGACAAUGGGCGAGAGCCUGAUCCAGCCAUGCCGCGUGCAGGAAGACGGCCCUAUGGGUUGUAAACUGCUUUUGUACGGGAAGAAACACCCCCUCGUGAGGGGGCUUGACGGUACCGUAAGAAUAAGGAUCGGCUAACUCCGUGCCAGCAGCCGCGGUAAAGUG